RNAcentral lists this ribosomal RNA (253 nucleotides) under uncultured bacterium. Its description in RNAcentral is "partial 16S ribosomal RNA". It matches the Rfam family "Bacterial small subunit ribosomal RNA", at positions 524 to 776 of the family's 1533-position model. The record is from RNAcentral.
UACGUAGGGGGCAAGCGUUGUCCGGAAUUACUGGGCGUAAAGAGCUCGUAGGUGGUUUGUCGCGUUGUUCGUGAAAUCCCACGGCUUAACUGUGGGCGUGCGGGCGAUACGGGCAGACUGGAGUACUGCAGGGGAGACUGGAAUUCCUGGUGUAGCGGUGGAAUGCGCAGAUAUCAGGAGGAACACCGGUGGCGAAGGCGGGUCUCUGGGCAGUAACUGACGCUGAGGAGCGAAAGCGUGGGGAGCGAACAGG